RNAcentral lists this ribosomal RNA (492 nucleotides) under uncultured bacterium. Its description in RNAcentral is "partial 16S ribosomal RNA". It matches the Rfam family "Bacterial small subunit ribosomal RNA", at positions 29 to 507 of the family's 1533-position model. The record is from RNAcentral.
AGUGAACGCUGGCGGUAGGCCUAACACAUGCAAGUCGAACGGCAGCACAGUAAGAGCUUGCUCUUACGGGUGGCGAGUGGCGGACGGGUGAGGAAUACAUCGGAAUCUACUUUUUCGUGGGGGAUAACGUAGGGAAACUUACGCUAAUACCUCAUACGACCUACGGGUGAAAGCAGGGGAUCUUCGGACCUUGCGCGAUUGAAUGAGUCGAUGUCGGAUUAGCUAGUUGGCGGGGUAAAGGCCCACCAAGGCGACGAUCCGUAGCUGGUCUGAGAGGAUGAUCAGCCACACUGGAACUGAGACACGGUCCAGACUCCUACGGGAGGCAGCAGUGGGGAAUAUUGGACAAUGGGCGCAAGCCUGAUCCAGCCAUACCGCGUGGGUGAAGAAGGCCUUCGGGUUGUAAAGCCCUUUUGUUGGGAAAGAAAAGCAGCAGGUUAAUACCCCGCUGUUCUGACGGUACCCAAAGAAUAAGCACCGGCUAACUUCGUG